ACUGGAAAAACAUCUAUGUUGAAAGGCAACGUCCUGCUCUUGGAGAAUGUCUGGCUUCCCUGGCAGCUGCCAUCCCAGUGGCAUUCCUGGAGCCUAGCCUUAACCGCUAUAAUCCCCUCUCAGUCUUCAACACCAAGACUCCCAGGGAGCGGUCUAUUCUGGGGAUGCCAGACAAGGUGGAAGAAAUGUGUCCUGACAUCCCCAG
Molecule: long non-coding RNA, 205 nt
Organism: Peromyscus leucopus (white-footed mouse)
Lineage: Eukaryota; Metazoa; Chordata; Mammalia; Rodentia; Cricetidae
Exons: 3
Source: RefSeq, a predicted model, not a curated record